This 843-nucleotide long non-coding RNA is filed under the name Capra hircus (goat). RNAcentral describes it as "lncRNA (ENSCHIG00010021239.1)". The record is from RNAcentral. Lineage: Eukaryota; Metazoa; Chordata; Mammalia; Artiodactyla; Bovidae.
ACUUCAGUGAUUUAUUGAGCAGGGGAUCUCAUGAGUUCAAAACAAAGGGUCCUGGAGCAACACCUCAAAAUGCAUAGCAGACAACAGGUAAGACAUAGCAGCAACCUUUGACUUAGAGGAGAAGGAGGUUACCAUUUAUAGGAGGAAUUGAAGUCAGGUUGGCUCAUCAGUUACCAGGGAAACCAGCAGCUGAGACCCAUGCCUUAUAGCCCCUCAGGUUAACAACCAUUAUGAGGGCAAAUAUUCCUCUUUAAUAAACUACCAGGUAGAGCUGUUCUGGCCUAAGGAUUAGCUGGGGCAGGGGUGAGCACAGUCACGUAGGUGAGGUGUAGGUGUAACAGGGAUUGGUCGAUAGGGGACAUACAGACAGCAAGAGAACAGUCAUCUUGAGGAGCCAUCCACCACCAUUCACCACCGUUCUACCUUCUUUCUCUAUGAAUUCAGCUAUUGCUGGUGCCUCAUUCUUAUCUCCCUAAGCUACUGGAGUCGUAGCAUUUCAGCUUCCUUCAGUGACAGAACACAGUGGAAUCCAGGUUACAGUCUACCAACCGAGUCAACCACUGUCUCAAGCUAAGGAGAGUGAGUGCAGAAUCCCUGGACCUCUGGCUACUGCAUCCGUGCUAAUAAUUUGGCCCAUAAGAUUGUGUUUCUGGUAGAAUACUCAAUAAAUUCUCCAAUUUUUUUAACCAAUAUUACUUUUAGCAAAAUCUUGCAAUUCUUUUGGCGCAUGAAUCUUUUCCUUCUGUGUUUGACUUUUAAAACUGGUCCCUAAAGGCAUGCUAGAUCUAGAACUACUUACAAGCCUGCAGGGAAUGAAGGGUCAUGGGUGAAAAGCAGGAGAAC